UGGCCANUUAGUGCGAUUUUCAUGCCAGC
This 29-nucleotide non-coding RNA is filed under the name Mus musculus (house mouse). Lineage: Eukaryota; Metazoa; Chordata; Mammalia; Rodentia; Muridae. The record is from RNAcentral.